AAUUGAACUAAUAGAGGUCGGUUUGAACACGGAGAAAGACUGGUUAUAUGAAUUGGGUCUAUUAGUGUCACAAUUGACUGUACUCUGGCUAUCUGAAAUCAAUUAUCAAACUACAAAAUACCAAGGCUUACUAUUUUCAUCUUAAUUCAAUCCAUAAUCCAUUCUAUGAUUAUCAAUUCAACAAUAUUUCUCUCAAUCACAAUUCUUCAUAAGCAAAUAAUAAAAAAAACAAAGAGGUAGCAUCAAGCUUACCCCGGCUUACGACUCUCACAAUCUGGCCCUCAGCUUACAACUCUCACAGUUUGACUCUCGCCUUACGACUCUUACAAUCUGGCUCUCGACUUACGACUCUCAGUCUGGUCCUUGUCUUACGACUCUCAGUAUAGCCCUUGACUUACGAUUCUCACAGUCUGGCCCCGAUCGCUCUUUCC
Molecule: long non-coding RNA, 431 nt
Filed under: Physcomitrium patens
Lineage: Eukaryota; Viridiplantae; Streptophyta; Bryopsida; Funariales; Funariaceae
Description: long non-coding RNA (PPAT_LNC006802)
Source: RNAcentral